AAGACUAUAUUUUCAGGGCUGAUUUCUAUAGUUUGUUACUAGAGAAGUCUCUCUGAAUGUGCAGAGUAUCCGAAACCACGAGGAGGAGGCACAGUGUUCUCUCCUGAGCGUGAAGCCGGCUUUUGGUGUUGCUUUUUGUAACUUCCAUUUGCUGUUGAUGAUGAUCGUUCUUCUCUCCCUUCCGGAGGGACUUUUAAAAACUCUACUGAGAGGU
Small nucleolar RNA from Neogale vison (American mink), 214 nucleotides. Its record names the gene U3. It matches the Rfam family "Small nucleolar RNA U3". From Rfam's summary of the family: Small nucleolar RNAs (snoRNAs) are involved in the processing and modification of rRNA in the nucleolus. There are two main classes of snoRNAs: the box C/D class, and the box H/ACA class. U3 snoRNA is a member of the box C/D class. The record is from Ensembl. Lineage: Eukaryota; Metazoa; Chordata; Mammalia; Carnivora; Mustelidae.